CCUACGGGUGGCAGCAGUGAGGAAUAUUGGUCAAUGGGCGAGAGCCUGAACCAGCCAAGUCGCGUGAGGGAGUACUGCUCUAUGGGUUGUAAACUUCUUUUAUAUAGGAAUAAAAUGAGGAACGUGUGCCUUUUUGUAUGUACCAUAUGAAUAAGGAUCGGCUAACUCCGUGCCAGCAGCCGCGGUAAUACGGAGGAUGCGAGCGUUAUCCGGAUUUAUUGGGUUUAAAGGGUGCGUAGGUGGUUAGUUAAGUCAGCGGUGAAAGUUUGUGGCUCAACCGUAAAAUUGCCAUUGAUACUGGCAGUCUUGAGUACAGUUGAGGUAGGCGGAAUUCGUGGUGUAGCGGUGAAAUGCAUAGAUAUCACGAAGAACCCCGAUUGCGAAGGCAGCUUACUAAACUAUAACUGACAUUGAUGCUCGAAAGCGUGGGUAUCAAACAGGAUUAGAUACCCGAGUAGUC
RNAcentral lists this ribosomal RNA (460 nucleotides) under uncultured bacterium. RNAcentral's name for it is "partial 16S ribosomal RNA". It matches the Rfam family "Bacterial small subunit ribosomal RNA", at positions 338 to 795 of the family's 1533-position model. The record is from RNAcentral.